AGGAGAGUUUGAUCCUGGCUCAGGAUGAACGCUGGCGGCGUGCCUAACACAUGCAAGUCGAACGGAGUUAUUCGCUGAUGAAGCUUCGGCAGAUUCUUGAAUAACUUAGUGGCGGACGGGUGAGUAACGCGUGGGUAACCUACCUCAUACAGGGGGAUAGCAGUUGGAAACGACUGAUAACACCGCAUAAGCGCACAGUAUCGCAUGAUACAGUGUGAAAAUAUUUAUAGGUAUGAGAUGGACCCGCGUCUGAUUAGCUAGUUGGUGAGGUAACGGCCCACCAAGGCGACGAUCAGUAGCCGGCCUGAGAGGGCGGACGGCCACAUUGGGACUGAGACACGGCCCAAACUCCUACGGGAGGCAGCAGUGGGGGAUAUUGCACAAUGGGCGAAAGCCUGAUGCAGUGACGCCGCGUGAGUGAAGAAGUAUUUCGGUAUGUAAAGCUCUAUCAGCAGGGAAGAAAGACCUCGUAAGAGGGGAUGACGGUACCUGAGUAAGAAGCCCCGGCUAACUACGUGCCAGCAGCCGCGGUAAUACGUAGGGGGCAAGCGUUAUCCGGAUUUACUGGGUGUAAAGGGAGCGUAGACGGUAUAUCAAGUCUGAAGUGAAACCCCACGGCUCAACCGUGGGCUUGCUUUGGAAACUGGUAUACUAGAGUACUGGAGAGGUAAGCGGAAUUCCUGGUGUAGUAGUGAAAUGCGUAGAUAUUAGGAGGAACACCAGUGGCGAAGGCGACUUUUUGGGCUAUAACUGACGCUGAGGCACGAAAGUGUGGGGAGCAAACAGGAUUAGAUACCAUGGUAGUCCCCU
This 810-nucleotide ribosomal RNA is filed under the name uncultured Bacillota bacterium. RNAcentral describes it as "bacterial SSU rRNA". It matches the Rfam family "Bacterial small subunit ribosomal RNA", at positions 1 to 799 of the family's 1533-position model. Lineage: Bacteria; Bacillati; Bacillota. The record is from RNAcentral.